Long non-coding RNA from Talpa occidentalis (Iberian mole), 397 nucleotides. RefSeq lists it as uncharacterized. The transcript is spliced from 3 exons. Lineage: Eukaryota; Metazoa; Chordata; Mammalia; Eulipotyphla; Talpidae. The record is from RefSeq and is a predicted model, not a curated record.
AACAGUUUGGUUACUAAGAGAAGGGUGGGAGGACAGCCGGUAACAUCAUUUACUUCCGAUAAGGUAGGUUUGACAACGCACUGAACAUUAAAAGGAAAAGUGCCUGGAUAAAAUGAAAACAACAGUGUGCCCUGGCAGGGAAGAGAUGGAUGGCCUAUACAUAAAUGCACAACAGUGACAAAGAGGGACUCUAAGCAGAUACCAUGUCUCUGCUCUUUCACUGAUGGAGAGAGUGGGCAUGCAAGUAAAGUUUGCGGUGUGAUGGCAGCGGUCAAACACUUUCAUCACUGUAUGUUAUGCUAUGUUACAUCAUGUAAUGUUGUUAUGCUAUAUACAAAAUGUAACUGUGUAGACCAGCAAACCCUUAAACCAUGUGUUCCACAUAUACUACUAUAAC